Molecule: ribosomal RNA, 2327 nt
Filed under: Corynebacterium propinquum DSM 44285
Lineage: Bacteria; Bacillati; Actinomycetota; Actinomycetes; Mycobacteriales; Corynebacteriaceae
Description: bacterial LSU rRNA
Rfam family: Bacterial large subunit ribosomal RNA
Source: RNAcentral
GUGUGUUGUAAGGGCGCAUGGUGGAUGCCUUGGCAUGCUAAGCCGAUGAAGGACGUGGAAGGCUGCGUUAUGCCUCGGGGAGUUGUCAAUCGAGCGUUGAUCCGAGGAUGUCCGAAUGGGGAAACCCGGCUGUGGUUAUUCGCAGUCACCUGCUGGUGAAUAUAUAGCCAGUAUGGGGGUUACGCGGGGAAGUGAAACAUCUCAGUACCCGUAGGAGAAGGAAACAAUAUGUGAUUUCGUGAGUAGCGGCGAGCGAAAGCGAAUGGUGGCUAAACCGUAUGUGUGUGAUACUUGGUAGAGGUUGCAUGUGCGGGGUUGUUGGGAGCGAUUGUAUGACUACUACCAUGGUUGUGCCAGUGUGCGCGUGUUAGGUGAAGUGGUUUGGAAUGGCCCACCGGAGUGGGUGAGAGUCCUGUAGCUGAAGGCAUGUGUGUGUUGGUUGAUUGUUUCCCGAGUAGCGGCGGGCUCGUGGAAUCUGCCGUGAAUCUGCCGGGACCACCCGGUAAGCCUAAAUACUUAGUGUGACCGAUAGCGGAUAGUACCGUGAGGGAAUGGUGAAAAGUACCCCGGGAGGGGAGUGAAAUAGUUCCUGAAACCAUGUGCUUACAAUCCGUCAGAGCACCUUUUGUUGUGUGAUGGCGUGCCUUUUGAAGAAUGAGCCUGCGAGUCAGCGGCAUGUCGCGAGGUUAACCCGUGUGGGGUAGUCGUAGCGAAAGCGAAUCCUAAUUGGGUGUUGUUAGUGGCAUGUCCUGGACCCGAAGCGGGGUGAUCUACCCAUGGCCAGUGUGAAGCAGCUGUAAGAGGUUGUGGAGGCGCGAACCCACGUAGGUUGAAAACUGCGGGGAUGAGCUGUGGGUAGGGGUGAAAGGCCAAUCAAACUCCGUGAUAGCUGGUUCUCCCCGAAAUGCAUUUAGGUGCAGCGUCGUAGUUGAGCUUUGUGGAGGUAGAGCUACUGUUUGGUUGAGCGGGACUAUCAUCUUAGCAACAUCAGACAAACUCCGAAUGCCAUGUAAGUGUUCUACGGCAGUGAGACUGUGGGGGAUAAGCUUCAUAGUCGAGAGGGAAACAGCCCAGAUCGCCGGCUAAGGCCCCUAAGGGUGUACUAAGUGGAAAAGGAUGUGGGAUCGCGAUGACAGCCAGGAGGUUGGCUUAGAAGCAGCCAUCCUUGAAAGAGUGCGUAAUAGCUCACUGGUCGAGUGGUUCUGCGCCGAUAAUGUAGUGGGGCUCAAGUACACCGCCGAAGCCGCGGCAACCAUCUUUGAGGAUGGUUGGGUAGGGGAGCGUCGUGCAUGAGGUGAAGCAUGAGUGUGAACACGUGUGGAUUGUGUGCGAGUGAGAAUGCAGGCAUGAGUAACGAAUUGUAAGGUGAGAAUCCUUACCGCCGGAUGACUAAGGGUUCCUGGGUCAAGUUCGUCUUCCCAGGGUGAGUCGGGACCUAAGGCGAGGCCGACAGGCGUAGUCGAUGGAUAACCAGUUGAUAUUCUGGUACCCGAGUGUGUGCGUCAAUGGUAAAGCAGUGAUACUAACCAUGUUCGAGACUUAUUGAUUAUGCCCUUUUUGGGUAUGUUGAUAGGUUGAGUUUGUGGGGCCUGAUCUGUGGUCCAAGUGAUGGGGUGACGCAGUAGGGCAGCCACGCCGCUUAGUGGAUUGUUGGUGUAAGCGUUGAGGUUGGUGCCAUUGGUAAAUCCGGGUGCUGUAUCCAAGGCGUGAUGCAUAGCCCUUUUUUGGGUGAAUGUGGUGUGCUUGUGCUGUCGAGAAAAGCCUCUAGCGAGUGCAUAUUCGGCCCGUACCCUAAACCGACACAGGUAGUCAGGUUGAGAAUACUAAGGCGUUCGGGUGAACUGUGGUUAAGGAACUCGGCAAAAUGUCCCCGUAACUUCGGGAGAAGGGGAGCCUCACUGGUUGUAUAGGCUGGUGGGGCCGCAGAGAAUAGAGGGGUCCGACUGUUUAUCAAAAACACAGGUCCAUGCGAAAACGUGAAGUUGAUGUAUAUGGACUGACGCCUGCCCGGUGCUGGAAGGUUAAGAGGACCUGUUAGACCUUUUGUGGUCGAAGCGGAGAAUUUAAGCCCCAGUAAACGGCGGUGGUAACUAUAACCAUCCUAAGGUAGCGAAAUUCCUUGUCGGGUAAGUUCCGACCUGCACGAAUGGCGUAACGAGACCCCUGCUGUCUCAACCACAGGCCCGGUGAAAUUGCAGUACGAGUAAAGAUGCUCGUUACGCGCGGCAGGACGAAAAGACCCCGGGACCUUCACUAUAGCUUGGUAUUGGUGUUCGGUUUGGCUUGUGUAGGAUAGGUGGGAGACUGUGAAGUAUGCACGCUAGUGU